UGCANUGGGGGAACCCUGAUGCAGCGACGCCGCGUGAGCGAUGAAGCCCUUCGGGGUGUAAAGCUCUUUCGGCAGGGAAGAAUGAUGACGGUACCUGCAGAAGCAGCUGCGGCUAACUACGUGCCAGCAGCCGCGGUAAUACGUAGGCAGCAAGCGUUGUUCGGAAUUACUGGGCGUAAAGAGUGUGUAGGCUGUGCUCUAAGUCUGGUGUGAAAUCUCCCGGCUUAACUGGGAGGGUGCGCCGGAAACUGGGGUGCUAGAGUAUGGGAGAGGCAAGCGGAAUUCCUGGUGUAGCGGUGAAAUGCGUAGAUAUCAGGAGGAACACCUGUGGUGUAGACAGCUUGCUGGACCAUUACUGACGCUGAGACACGAAAGCGUGGGUAGCAAACAGGAUUAGAUACCCUGGUAGUCCACGCCCUAAACGAUGAUCGCUUGGUGUGACAGGUACCCAAUCCUGUCGUGCCGGAGCUAACGCGUUAAGCGAUCCGCCUGGGGAGUACGGCCGCAAGGUUGAAACUCAAAGGAAUUGACGGA
Molecule: ribosomal RNA, 534 nt
Filed under: uncultured bacterium
Lineage: Bacteria
Description: bacterial SSU rRNA
Rfam family: Bacterial small subunit ribosomal RNA
Source: RNAcentral